GAUGUGCGCACAGUAGUGUUUUCAUCUUUUCUAUAAAUAUUUGUAGUUCAUCAUGCAUUACAGUAGGGCAUUCCUCUCUUUUGACUUUGCCCUUUUUUUUAGCUUGUUCAUCUGAUUUGCACAGAAGGGGGAAGAAGGCUUUAUGGAAAAGAUAAACUACAGACUCAACUCUGUGUGGAUACAAAGUUUUGUGGAAAAAAUGUAAGUGGGAAUGAUAGGCAAACAUCAGAAGUAAAAGAUAGGACCACACAAGAACAAAUUAAGAGAAAUCUCAGCUGCAGAGAGUGUGCAUUCUGCAGAUGAAAUUUGGGACUUAGAAGCACGGCAAGAACUCCCUCUGGAUGGAAUUAUGGCCUCUUCCAAAUCAAUUGGAAAACGUUUGUUGACUUUAAUGGGCCCAGGUUUUCCCCCUGGUAUCCAGUAGAAGGCAUACAUAGAUGCUUAUACACAAUUGUAAUUGUGUAUAAUUGUAUGCUCGCUGCGUAACCAAAUAGAGUUUGCAGAAGGAAGCAGUCCUAGGGAAGACAUCAGCUUUCAAAGAAGUAAGUUCUGCAACUAUGUUGUGGUUC
This 569-nucleotide long non-coding RNA is filed under the name Dromaius novaehollandiae (emu). RNAcentral describes it as "lncRNA (ENSDNVG00000016778.1)". Lineage: Eukaryota; Metazoa; Chordata; Aves; Casuariiformes; Dromaiidae. The record is from RNAcentral.